UCCCUAGUGGUCCAGUGGCUAAGACUCUGUACUCCUAAUGCAGGGGGUCUGGGUUCGAUUCCUGGUCGGGGAA
Transfer RNA from Ovis aries (sheep), 73 nucleotides. It matches the Rfam family "tRNA". From Rfam's summary of the family: Transfer RNA (tRNA) molecules are approximately 80 nucleotides in length. Their secondary structure includes four short double-helical elements and three loops (D, anti-codon, and T loops). Lineage: Eukaryota; Metazoa; Chordata; Mammalia; Artiodactyla; Bovidae. The record is from Rfam.